This 137-nucleotide ribosomal RNA is filed under the name uncultured eukaryote. RNAcentral describes it as "partial 18S ribosomal RNA". It matches the Rfam family "Eukaryotic small subunit ribosomal RNA", at positions 1299 to 1458 of the family's 1831-position model. The record is from RNAcentral.
UGGUGGGGUGACUUGUCUGUUUAAUUGCGAUAACGAACGAGACCUUAACCUGCUAAAUAGCCCGCAUUGCUCCGGCAGUGCGCUGGCUUCUUAGAGGGACUUUCGGCUCAAGCCGAAGGAAGUUUGAGGCAAUAACA